This 246-nucleotide long non-coding RNA is filed under the name Mus spicilegus (steppe mouse). RNAcentral's name for it is "lncRNA (ENSMSIG00000025658.1)". The record is from RNAcentral. Lineage: Eukaryota; Metazoa; Chordata; Mammalia; Rodentia; Muridae.
AAAGCUAAAUGAAGGAUGGUCACAGCAAGAUUUUUUUUUUCUAUGGCAGUCACAGCCUUGGGAUCUCAGAAGAACAUCAUGAAGGUUCAGACAUUGGGCAGCUUGCCAAACCCAUGGGAAAACAAUUGCCAGCUUUUCCACUUGGUUAGGGGAUCCACCCUUGCAUCUUCUGCGUGCAUCCAAAUGCAGAGCCUAGGCUACAACAGAAAAUGUUCCAAGAUUAAAGGUCUUCUGUGGAAGGUGUGA